This 500-nucleotide ribosomal RNA is filed under the name uncultured bacterium. RNAcentral's name for it is "partial 16S ribosomal RNA". It matches the Rfam family "Bacterial small subunit ribosomal RNA", at positions 355 to 867 of the family's 1533-position model. The record is from RNAcentral.
UGGGGAAUAUUGCACAAUGGGCGAAAGCCUGAUGCAGCAACGCCGCGUGAGUGAUGAAGGUCUUCGGAUUGUAAAGCUCUGUCUUUUGGGACGAUAAUGACGGUACCAAAGGAGGAAGCCACGGCUAACUACGUGCCAGCAGCCGCGGUAAUACGUAGGUGGCGAGCGUUGUCCGGAUUUACUGGGCGUAAAGGGUGCGUAGGCGGAUGUUUAAGUGAGAUGUGAAAUACCCGGGCUUAACUUGGGUGCUGCAUUUCAAACUGGAUAUCUAGAGUGCAGGAGAGGAGAAUGGAAUUCCUAGUGUAGCGGUGAAAUGCGUAGAGAUUAGGAAGAACACCAGUGGCGAAGGCGAUUCUCUGGACUGUAACUGACGCUGAGGCACGAAAAGCGUGGGUAGCAAACAGGAUUAGAUACCCUGGUAGUCCACGCCGUAAAACGAUGAGUACUAGGUGUAGGAGGUAUCGACCCCUUCUGUGCCGCAGUAAAACACAUUAAAGUAC